GAUCAUGGCUCAGGAUGAACGCUAGCUACAGGCUUAAUACAUGCAAGUCGAGGGGCAGCAUGGUCUUAGCUUGCUAAGGCCGAUGGCGACCGGCGCACGGGUGAGUAACACGUAUCCAACCUGCCGUCUACUCUUGGACAGCCUUCUGAAAGGAAGAUUAAUACAAGAUGGCAUCAUGAGCCCGCAUGUUCACAUGAUUAAAGGUAUUCCGGUAGACGAUGGGGA
RNAcentral lists this ribosomal RNA (225 nucleotides) under uncultured bacterium. Its description in RNAcentral is "partial 16S ribosomal RNA". It matches the Rfam family "Bacterial small subunit ribosomal RNA", at positions 15 to 231 of the family's 1533-position model. The record is from RNAcentral.